RNAcentral lists this ribosomal RNA (460 nucleotides) under uncultured bacterium. RNAcentral describes it as "partial 16S ribosomal RNA". It matches the Rfam family "Bacterial small subunit ribosomal RNA", at positions 338 to 795 of the family's 1533-position model. The record is from RNAcentral.
CCUACGGGUGGCAGCAGUGAGGAAUAUUGGUCAAUGGACGAGAGUCUGAACCAGCCAAGUAGCGUGAAGGACGACUGCCCUAUGGGUUGUAAACUUCUUUUAUAUGGGAAUAAAAUGUUCCACGUGUGGGCUUUUGUAUGUACCAUAUGAAUAAGGAUCGGCUAACUCCGUGCCAGCAGCCGCGGUAAUACGGAGGAUCCGAGCGUUAUCCGGAUUUAUUGGGUUUAAAGGGAGCGUAGGUGGAUUGUUAAGUCAGUUGUGAAAGUUUGCGGCUCAACCGUAAAAUUGCAGUUGAAACUGGCAGUCUUGAGUACAGUAGAGGUAGGCGGAAUGCGUGGUGUAGCGGUGAAAUGCUUAGAGAUCACGAAGAACUCCGAUUGCGAAGGCAGCUCACUGAACUGCAACUGACACUGAGGCUCGAAAGUGUGGGUAUCAAACAGGAUUAGAUACCCGUGUAGUC